RNAcentral lists this ribosomal RNA (855 nucleotides) under uncultured Thermoplasmata archaeon. RNAcentral's name for it is "bacterial SSU rRNA". It matches the Rfam family "Archaeal small subunit ribosomal RNA", at positions 36 to 903 of the family's 1478-position model. Lineage: Archaea; Methanobacteriati; Thermoplasmatota; Thermoplasmata. The record is from RNAcentral.
GGUCGCGAGCAUGCGAGUCGAGAGGGUCGGCCCUCGGCAGACUGCUCAGUAACACGUGGAGAACUUGCCCUACGCUGGAGAAUACCCUCGGGAAACUGAGGACAAUACUCCAUAGCCCCUACAUCCUGGAACGGUGCAGGGGUAAAAGCUCCGGCGGCGUAGGAUAGCUCUGCGGCCUAUCAGGUUGUAGCGAGGGUAACGUCCUCGCUAGCCUUCGACGGGUAUGGGUGUUGGGAGACAUCGCCCAGAGAUGGAUUCUGAGACACGAAUCCAGGUCCUACGGGACGCAGCAGGCGCGAAAACUGCACAAUGUGGGAAACCACGAUGCGGGAAACCCAAGUGUCAGCACUAUGUGUUGACUGUCCUCCAGUGUUCGUAACUGGGGAAGAAAGUGCUGGGUAAGACGGGUGCCAGCCGCCGCGGUAAUACCCGCAGCACAAGUGGUGGUCAUUAUUAUUGGGCCUAAAGCGUCCGUAGCUGGCGUGUUAGAUGCCUGGGUAAAUCGAUGCGCUCAACGCAUCGAAUUCCGGGUAGACCGGCAUGCUCGAGACCGGGAGAGGUGUAGGCUACUCGCGGGGUAGGGGUAAAAUCCUGUAAUCCUGCGGGGAGGACCAGUGGCGAAGGCGCUACACUAGAACGGCUCUGACAGUGAGGGACGAAGCCCUGGGGCGCAAACCGGAUUAGAUACCCGGGUAGUCCAGGGUGUAAACGCUGCGGUCUUGGUGUCGGGAGUCCUACGGGGGCACCCGGUGCCGGAGAGAAGUUGUUAAGACCGCUGCCUGGGGAGUACGGCCGCAAGGUUGAAACUUAAAGGAAUUGGCGGGGGAGCACCGCAACGGGAGGAGCGUGCGGUUU